This 57-nucleotide transfer RNA is filed under the name Hordeum vulgare subsp. vulgare (domesticated barley). It matches the Rfam family "tRNA", at positions 1 to 55 of the family's 71-position model. Rfam says of the family: Transfer RNA (tRNA) molecules are approximately 80 nucleotides in length. Their secondary structure includes four short double-helical elements and three loops (D, anti-codon, and T loops). Lineage: Eukaryota; Viridiplantae; Streptophyta; Magnoliopsida; Poales; Poaceae. The record is from Rfam by way of RNAcentral.
GCGCCUGUAGCUCAGUGGAUAGAGUGUCCGUUUCCUAAGCGGAAUGCCGUAGGUGCG